CCUACGGGAGGCAGCAGUAGGGAAUAUUGCUCAAUGGGGGAAACCCUGAAGCAGCAACGCCGCGUGGAGGAUGAAGGUUUUAGGAUUGUAAACUCCUUUUGUUAGAGAAGUUUAUGACGGCAUCUAACGCAUAAGCACCGGCUAACUCCGUGCCAGCAGCCGCGGUAAUACGGAGGGUGCAAGCGUUAUUCGGAUUCACUGGGCGUAAAGGGUGCGUAGUCGGGGUAAUAAGUCAGUUGUGAAAUCCUGAGGCUUAACUACAGAAUUGCAUUUGAAACUGUUACUCUGGAGUUUGGGAGAGGUAGGUGGAAUUCGUGGUGUAGGGGUAAAAUCCGUAGAGAUCAAGAGGAAUACUCAUUGCGAAGGCGACCUGCUAGAACAUUACUGACGCUGAUGCACGAAAGCGUGGGGAGCAAACAGGAUUAGAUACCCGUGUAGUC
This 440-nucleotide ribosomal RNA is filed under the name uncultured bacterium. RNAcentral describes it as "partial 16S ribosomal RNA". It matches the Rfam family "Bacterial small subunit ribosomal RNA", at positions 338 to 795 of the family's 1533-position model. The record is from RNAcentral.